This is a long non-coding RNA of Anas platyrhynchos (mallard), 1862 nucleotides long. RefSeq lists it as uncharacterized. NCBI's taxonomy places the organism in Eukaryota, Metazoa, Chordata, Aves, Anseriformes, Anatidae. The record is from RefSeq and is a predicted model, not a curated record.
UCAGAGGCAGAGAGCUUCAAGUUUGGGCACUAAUGAAGAGCUCAGAGGGAGGGGAAGCUGGCACCCAGCACCGGGACAGCCCGAGGGCAGAGCCCAGCGCCUCGGGGAUGUCCCACAUGGGGAUGUGGUCAGGACAGGCUGCACAGGGGAGGCUCUCAUGAGGUUGGGAUCAUGGAAUUGUAGCACCAUUGAACAGCCCAGGCUGGAAGGGACCUCGGAAGAUCACUGGGUCCAACCUCCCCUGGGAAGAGGGAGCCUAGAUGAGAUUAUCCAGCACCCAGCCCAAUCCCAUCCUGAAGACCUGCAGUGAUGCUGAUUCCACAACAUCUCUCGGGAGGUGAUUGCUCUCACUGCAAAAAAAAAUCUUUAUUGUAUCAAGAAAAGACUUCUCCUGGUACAAAGUGUACCAGUUCAUUGUCUCUUGUCUCUUCCAUGUGGCUUCUUGGGACAGAGCCUCUGCCCUCUUUGCAGUUACCCCAAAGUACCAGAAUACUGUGACGAGGCCUCCCCAGAGCCUUCUCUUCUCAGGGUGAAAAGACCCAACUCUGUCAGCCUUUCCUCACAGGGCAGGUUCUCCAACCCUCGGAUCAUCCUCAUGGCCCUCCUUUGGAAUCUCCCAUCUGUCCUCAUCUUUUCUGAAUUGUGGGGACCAGAACUGGACACAGAGCUGCAGGCACAGCCCAACAAGCGCUGGGAGGAGUGGGAUGCUCACCGGUUUGCAAGCAGGGCACAGUACUCCUCUGAUCUGACCAAGACAGCCCCCCCAAAGGGGGGUUACAUGUUCAAAACACAGUGUCUGGGGGUUGGCAAGGUCGUGUCAGAUGCUGAACGAAGACGUGCCCCACAGACAGGCUUUGCUGGGUGAGAAGCCAUCUGCCUCACUGGCCCAGCAGCACUGGUGCCUCCACCCAGCAGGGCAAGUUCUCGGAGUCUCCAAGUGCCCCAGUUCCUCAUGAAAUGGUAUGAUUUAUACAAAACUUCAUAACUUACUCAGUAACUGAAAAUGAUUAUUAAAAGUGGUUGAGGAAUUGCAGCACGGAAGGUCAUUCUGUAACUGGGGAUUGAGUAAACAGUGGAGGCCAGGAGUUAGUGUCAUGAACAGACGUGGCCAACGGGUACUUACAAAUGUUUAGUAUUUAGAGGAAAAAAAAUGCUAUUUUUGCUGCCAAAAUUUAAUUUAAUUAGGGAUUGUUUGGGUUUUGUUCUUUUUAAUGUGGUUUGUUUGUUAUGUUCAUUGAGAAGCAUCAUUGCCAUGGUAACUGCCAUGCCGCGUGUGGGGCAAUGUGCACACUUUUAAGCGGCGCACAGGGUGCGGUGUACCCACGGAUGUGUGUAGCCAGUAUGCCAGAGGAUACGGGGAGAUCCAUAACAAGAGCACUAAAAAGCUUCGGAACAAAUUAGGAAAUGUUAUUUGUCUGUACAAACAAGAACGCUUUCUUGGCCUUCCUUAGUUUUUAUUUAUUUUUUUUUUUUUUUUUUUUCCUCAACACUCCUACGUAAGCAUUAAAAGAACAGAGGGAAAAUUAAAUGAAGCUGUGGGAAGAAUGCUGAGUUUACCAUCUGAUUUUGAUUUGGGAUAUUUCUGUGGAAAUAAAAAGAUGUUUUUUUUUUUAAUUAUUUUUGUUUUUCUUGCUGGACAGUUGUUGCAGACACUUAGCAAAACAAUCAAGAUGCACUAUUUGGCCCAAAAAAUGUUCAGUAGUGUGUGCCCAGUAAAUUUGCAAUGGGAAAACAAGCCGAAAAAUGCUGCUUUUUCCCCUUUCUGUUGGUUUUGUGGGAAAGAGAACGCUAUGUGCACUAUGAAAACACCAGAGAUUAAAUAGCUCAGCAGAAGACAAGGAGGCGUUGCACAGGUCUGCUGU